Molecule: non-coding RNA, 393 nt
Organism: Durio zibethinus
Lineage: Eukaryota; Viridiplantae; Streptophyta; Magnoliopsida; Malvales; Malvaceae
Source: RefSeq, a predicted model, not a curated record
UAAACAAUAGCUUGUUGAAAGAUUUUGGCUUCCUUCCAUCCUAUUGUGUGUAAAUAUUAAUUUUUACUUGUUGCUUUAGGUACUAAGGUUUCUUCUUUCAAAUGCAAGAUGGUGGCUGGACGAAUACAAGUUUGAUGGGUUCAGAUUUGAUGGUGUGACUUCAAUGAUGUACACCCAUCAUGGGUUGCAGGUAGCAUUUACUGGAAACUACAAUGAGUAUUUCGGAUAAGCAACUGAUGUAGAUGCUGUUGUUUAUCUGAUGCUGGUUAAUCAUAUGAUUCAUGGGCUACAUCCUGAGGCUGUCACCAUUGGUUAGGAUAAUGAGUUUGGUGUCUGGGAGAUCUUUUGGCCUAAUAAUGCUGAUUAUUCACCACCAAUUCCCCAUGGUUCUCA